RNAcentral lists this ribosomal RNA (393 nucleotides) under uncultured bacterium. RNAcentral's name for it is "partial 16S ribosomal RNA". It matches the Rfam family "Bacterial small subunit ribosomal RNA", at positions 523 to 918 of the family's 1533-position model. The record is from RNAcentral.
AUACGGAGGAUCCGAGCGUUAUCCGGAUUUAUUGGGUUUAAAGGGUGCGCAGGCGGGAGAUUAAGUCGGCGGUGAAAUUUUGCAGCUCAACUGUAAAAGUGCCUUCGAAACUGGUUUCCUUGAGUGUAGAUGAAGUAGGCGGAAUUUGGGGUGUAGCGGUGAAAUGCAUAGAUAUCACGAGGAACUCCGAUUGCGCAGGCAGCUUACUAAACUACUACUGACGCUCAGGCACGAAGGCGUGGGGAUCAAACAGGAUUAGAUACCCUGGUAGUCCACGCAGUAAACGAUGAUUACUAGCUGUUUGCGAUACAAUGUAAGCGGCCGAGCGAAAGCGUUAAGUAAUCCACCUGGGGAGUACGUUCGCAAGAAUGAAACUCAAAGGAAUUGACGGGG